CUCUCUCUCUCUCUCUCUCUCUCUCUCCUGCGAACCAGAAACCUCUCCCCAUUUUUGGCUUGCGACGGCACGACUUCUCGUCGUCGCCACCGCCACCACACACCGCCACUUGGGGCGGCACCGGUUCCGUUGGAACCACCACACUUCCUACUUUCCAUUCCACCCCACCACCACCUCGAUCCGCCGUCGUGGUCGCCGGAAACAGCCACGAAACGUAGCGGUUUUGACAGAUUUUUGCCCAACUUUCGACCUCUCGUUCUCUCUCAUUUCUCCACCAAAUUUGACGAGUAAGGUAUGGUUUUCUACCUAUUUUCCAUGCUCUAGCUGAUGGUUGGGUAGGAUUUCGUUAAUUUUGAGCGUAGGUUAACUGAAUUUCAACUUAGGUUUCGGCCGGUUUUGGGUUUCCGAUUCCGGCCACUUCCGGCCAGUUUUUGGGGUAGGCCCAAGAACAAAAGUGACUCCAAAUAGGGUGUUGUACCUAGGAUAGGAGUCUUGAGCCGAGGUGUUGAGUUUUUCCGACGAAGGGUUAUCGCUUUGGACACCCACGCGCUGCCAGCGCGUGUGGCGGCGCGUGGGCACUGUAGCAAACGUACAUUAUUGUCCCAAUGCGAUCUCCUGGUUGUCACGAGUGCGUAGGAUUUUACGGAUCUCAAUUCGGACAUCGUAUGACUAUCGAACGGAUUUUCGCAUAUUGUGCGUUAUCCGGGUUCGAUAGGUUCGGACCGUUGGAUCGACUCCAUUCCAAUAUAUGUUACUCUAGACUUUCCUAGGAACGAGUAGGAUUUCACGGAUCAUGAAUCGGAGCCCCGGAUGUUCCGAUUCAAUAAUUUAAAGUUUGAAGAUUUUUCGAUAACCGUUCGAUCGUGAGCGAUCUAACCGUCCUUUUUGGACCAAACUUACGGGACUUGUGUCUUAAACCUUGUGGAACUCUUAGGAACUUCCAGUCCGUUACACUCGCUAGAAACCCGGGAAAUUAGGAUUUUUAAUUCAAGUUCUCGUUCGAAACCCUUUAUAUUAAUCCCGUAUUUGUAUUCUGAAAUAGGUACUCCGACCACGCAUUCGCAGCAGGCGGGACCCUCUCAGGGUCAGGCAGUGUGGGACUACUUGUGAGUGGACUUUGUUUUCAACUUAUAAGCAUGGUUUUAUAAUGAGAAUUUUAUGCAUAUGAUUUAAAUAGUCAUUGAAAUGCAUGUUAUAUUUAAUAGUUAAAUUCUUUAUUUUCAUAAAGUAAUGGUAAUAUAUUUGGGUUUUGACAUAUUUGAGUAUCUUGAGUAUGUAUAUAUGGAUUUUGAGAAUUUAUAUAUAUGUUUGGCUAUGUGUGGGGUACUUGGGUUGUUGAGAUGAGAUUUUGGAAAGUGAUGAGUAUAGAAUGUCAGUUUGGAGUGCUAUAAGCACUACCCUAUGUACCUCCCCUGAUUUUGGAACUUGGAUACGGAGACUUGAGAUACUCGGGGCAUCCUUGACGGGAUGUUGCUGUAGACCCUUGAUUGGGUAGUCUGCGCGCGUAGGACUGGUCACAGACGUACGAGUUUUGAGGGUAUCGACUGUACGUGCUGGCUGAGAGUUAGUCCCCCGGUUAGACGGCUCGUUCCCUAGUUACAUGGUGAAUUGAGGACUCUUCAUGGAUACUCUGCCAUGGUGACUAGUCAAACAAUCCCCCGGUUGGAUUGUUUCCCCGGUACAACUAGGUGUUGGUCAUAUUUAUAUUAUUAUUAUAUAUAUGUAUAUAUAUCUCUUAUAUUAUAUAUAUAUUUACAUAUGUAUAUAACUAUUCAUUCAUUCUUGUUUUUCGGUGAGGAUACUUCCUUGCCGGUCGUGCCAAUGGGUACGGUUUCGAGAGUUUGGUUUGGGACUUAUAAUAUUUAAUUGGUGGGUUUGUUUAGUGUUCUGUUUGGAUUUCGGACUUGGCAUCCGGCAUUGGUUUGGUUUUGACAUAUAUAAAUAUUUAUUUGAUUUUGAUGAUUUGGGAUACAUUCGGAUUUCUUGCUUGGUUUAUUAAAUAGUGGGGUUAUAUUAUGUUGGUUUACACUGAACUGAACUUUAUUUUUGUCCACACACAUUUUUCUGUUUUGCGCCCCCAGCCAGUAGUCGACUGAGCUUCGCAGCUGAGCCGGAUUGUGUGCUCACAAGCCUUGAGCCUUCGUAGGAUUUCUUCUUUCUGUUUUCCUUGAACUUUGUUUUUGUUGUAUCUAAAUUUCUUAGAUAUGCUAUGUUAUCGCCCUUGUUAGGGUUGAUCUUUGAGGCCGGAGGCCUUUGUUGUAAACUGUUUAUUUGCUUUAAAGCAUGUUGCUGGUUGGGUAUCUUAAACUGUGUUUUUGAGCAGGUUGAAUUUUUUGGGGGAAUGUUCAUUUUACAGGGGAGACUCUGCCAAAAUUUUUGGUAGAAAGUCUCGAUUCUUAGUAAGUGGGCCCGGCAUCGGGGAGAUGUCGGUAACGAGACGGGAUUCGCUCAUGUUUUCGGGAAUUCCGGGGCGGGUCCUGUCACUUAGAGUCCUAAAAUAAUCCUCAUGUCGUCCUGAGCACGACGGUAUGCUCGAAUUUCAAUUUAGUUAUCGUUUGGUCGUCGAUCGGACAUCGCAUAUUAGGCGUUAUCCAGGUUCGACAUGUUCGGGCCGUUGGAUCGACUCCAAUUUAUUAUAUGUUGAUCAAGACAUUCCUAGGAUCGUGUAGGAAUUUGUGGAUCGUGAAUCGGAGCCCCGGAUGUUCCGAUUUAGUAACUUAAAGUUUGCGUUGAACGAUAACCGUCCGAUCGUACGAUCUCGAGCAAUCCGACCAUUUGAUUCAGACAUGUUUAGUAAACCUUGCUGAAGCCGUGGGAACUUCCAGUUCGGAAAUCAGAGGUCAUGGUUGACCAAGUUUGGAUAGUUAGAGCCUCAAUUGACCGUGAGUCUUCAGAGGUAGUUUCACCAUUCGUGAAGUACUAGCACAACCGUGUGAACGAGUCUUGACCGUUAUUUGAGUUAUUUUGAUUAAGUUGGGAGUAUGAGCUUGUUUAUAUUAUCUUACAAAAUUCGGUUAUUAUUUUGAUAAUUGAAAUCAAGGUAUAGAUGAGUAUGGGAUACUUGAUUUGGUGGGUUGUGAAAGUGAGCCUUGGGCUCAUCUAUGAUUACUAAGAAGUGAGUGGACUUGGUUCUCAAAUAAUAUUCAUUAUUUUCAACGAUAGAAAAAUAUGCAUAUUGAGUCCUUUGACUUUGAGUUGUUAUAUGUUUUGAAGUAGAAAUAUAAUAUGAUUACAAAGAGUAUUGGAUUUAUGUUCGUACAUUUGCGGGAUGUGACAAUUCUGAAUGAAUUUAUGCUAUUUUUGAGCAUGGUUAUGUAUACUUGGAUUUGUGGUGUUGUACAUGGUGUUAUUGGAAAGGGUUCAUUAAAUGUGGAUUUGGUUGUGAUUUAUGUUUGAGUGCUAUUAGCACUACCUUAUGUACCUCCUCGGAUAUGGAUUAUAUACUUGAGAGUUUAUUGUCUAUACUAUGAAUAAAUUUUUGAAACAAUUGAAUUAAGGAAGGGAAUAUUGUUGUUUUGCAAUAGUGUUAUAAGGGUUACGAACUCCACUAUCAUGUGUAACUUACCUGGUCACUAUACUCACACGCAGCAUUGGAUUUUUCGAGCGUGUGGGCUUCCUUGGUUACGGAUUCUGGAAUUGAUGGAUACUUGGAAAUUGUGGAUAUGGUUGGAUAUGUCGGAACUCGGGGCACCCUUAACGGGGUGUUACCGUAGACCCUUGAUUGGGUAGCUUGCGCGCGUAGGACUUGUCAUAGGCGUACGAGUCUUGAGGAUUCGGUUGUACGUGCUGGUUGAGAGUUAGUCCCUCGGUUGGAUGGCUCGUUCCCUAGCCACAUGGUUAAUUGAGGAUUCUUUCAUGUGGACUAGUCAAACGAUCCCCAGUUUGAUUGUUUUUCCCAGUACAUGAUGUGCAUCAUCAUAUGUACCUCCCAUUGGAUACUAAUACUUGGAAACAGUGGAAAUGGAUACUUGGAUACAUGAAUAUGGAUAUGUGGAUAUGUAGACCCUUGAUUGAGUAGUUCGCGCUUAGGACUUGUCAUAGGCGUACGAGUCUAGAGGAUUCGGCUGUACGUUCUGGCUGAGAGUUAGUCCCUCGGUUGAGAUUCUUAAUUUUGUGUUUUAUGAUUACCCUACACUGGUAUGAAUGUCUAAGUCCUGGAUUGGGAAGUGUUGUUCGGCAACAUAUGCCUUGGAUAAGGUAUGAUUGCGCGGAAAGAAUUGUUAAAAGAAAGGAAGUCAUAAAGUGUUCAGGGUUGCCGUGUCGAAUAUUGAUAUAUUAAGGAAUUUAAAGUUAUUCGUUGGUGUUACUUAAAAGAAAAAUUGUAUAUUAUCGGAGCUGUGACUGUUGAUUUUAGAACUACGUGUGGCUUGAUCCCUCGCAAAGGGGUAAGUAGGUAGCCUGGGGUCUUACCUGGGUGCAGUCGCGAAAUAAACUAUAUUUAAAAGUUUUGACCGAUUCUGAGUGUGGAUUUUGAUGUAGUGGUUGGAUUUGAAUCCUAAUUAUUACUUUUGCUAGGUUCAGUUUUGAUUAUGUAAGUACGACUGAAACUCGAUUUAAACUUGAGCGAGAUUAAAUGCUUGCUUAUUUCUCAGUUAUCACUUGAUUGGAUUCUAUUAAAUAAAGUAUGUGGUUCUGUCAUGUCUGAGAUCCAUUUCGAAAUAAAUGAUUGAUUUUAGGUUGAUUAUAUUGUAUAAUGGGCUCGAGUCCCCUAGAACUGUUGGUGAUAAUCCAUAGAUGGUAGUUGUUGCAUGCUGAAGAUUUGUUGAAAGUAUUAUUGCCUUUUCGUAGGUUAAAAAUUUGGAAAGUUAUUUUAUGUUGAUUGCAGUGGUAUUCGUAAAAUGAUUUGAGUUCCUUAAUUGCAUUGCUAAUGUAUGAAUCGACUUAAGAGCAUUGCUAGUUAUUCUGCAUUGAUUUAUUUGAAGGCUGGAAGCCUUGUUUGUAAACUGUGUUAUUACAUUGUGUGUGCUGACAGUUGGCUUCUUAAAUUGUGAUUUUUUUACAGGUUGAAAAUUUGGGAAAAGUCCAAUUUACAUGGGAGAUUGUCGAAAUUUUGUCAGAAAGCCUCGUGCCCAUAUUCCUUUUUUUAGGGAAAGGAGGCUGUAGUAUUAGUAAGUGGGUCCGGCAUCGGUGUGAUGUCGGAAUUUUCGCAGGAUUCGUCCCGGAUUUCGAGGAAUUCGGGGCGAGUCCUCCUGUCAGUUCCACUGUUGUGAAUCCACAUCCCUUGGGUUUGCCUAAGUCAUUCAAGUGACUACAAUAUAAAUCAUUUAAAGCAAAAGCAGAGUGUAAUUAUAGUCUCUCCUCCAGAAAAAGAAGGAAAAUACAAAUUUUUAUGACUCACUCACUCAUUGAUUACACUAUUCUCUAUGUUCGACCAAAAAAAAAAAAAAAAACUGAUUACACUAAC
This 5404-nucleotide long non-coding RNA is filed under the name Prunus dulcis (almond). RNAcentral describes it as "sRNA ncRNA". Lineage: Eukaryota; Viridiplantae; Streptophyta; Magnoliopsida; Rosales; Rosaceae. The record is from RNAcentral.